Molecule: ribosomal RNA, 492 nt
Filed under: uncultured bacterium
Lineage: Bacteria
Description: partial 16S ribosomal RNA
Rfam family: Bacterial small subunit ribosomal RNA
Source: RNAcentral
AGUGAACGCUGGCGGUAUGCCUAACACAUGCAAGUCGAACGGCAGCACAGUAAGAGCUUGCUCUUACGGGUGGCGAGUGGCGGACGGGUGAGGAAUACAUCGGAAUCUACUUUUUCGUGGGGGAUAACGUAGGGAAACUUACGCUAAUACCGCAUACGACCUACGGGUGGAAGCAGGGGAUCUUCGGACCUUGCGCGAUUGAAUGAGCCGAUGUCGGAUUAGCUAGUUGGCGGGGUAAAGGCCCACCAAGGCGACGAUCCGUAGCUGGUCUGAGAGGAUGAUCAGCCACACUGGAACUGAGACACGGUCCAGACUCCUACGGGAGGCAGCAGUGGGGAAUAUUGGACAAUGGGCGCAAGCCUGAUCCAGCCAUACCGCGUGGGUGAAGAAGGCCUUCGGGUUGUAAAGCCCUUUUGUUGGGAAAGAAAAGCAGCAGGUUAAUACCCCGCUGUUCUGACGGUACCCAAAGAAUAAGCACCGGCUAACUUCGUG